This 26612-nucleotide long non-coding RNA is filed under the name Homo sapiens (human). Its description in RNAcentral is "non-protein coding lnc-ADAMTS15-5:5". Lineage: Eukaryota; Metazoa; Chordata; Mammalia; Primates; Hominidae. The record is from RNAcentral.
GUGCAAAGCCCAGGCACAGGGUUCAGACUCCAUCUUCUGUGUUCUUCUUAAUUGACAAACUGCAAUGGCUGUCUUCAGAGUCUUGGUUUUCUAUGGUGGUCAACUCCUGAGUUCUUAUGAUGUCGCUGGGCACAGAAAAAAUAAACGGAGAAGUUCACCAGGCGCUACCCGUUUUUGAAUCCUUUUGAGGUUCUGUGACCCAGAUGGCCUUGCUUCUUGUCUCCUGUGCUGCAGUUUCACCCCUCUGGAGACUACAACUCAGGAGCAGCUGGAUGAGAUGGAAGAGAUCCCCAGAGAGAGCCAGUGUGGGAGGCAGGACUUCCAUGCCCUCUCCUGUCCCACCGCCUCCCCAAGAGACAGAGUCUUGCUCUGUUGUCCAGGCUGGAGAGCAAUGGUGCCAUCAUAGCUCACUGCAGCCUUGACCGCCUGGGCUCAAGCGAUCCUCCCACCUCAGCCUCCUGAGUAGCUGGGACUACAGGUGUGCACAACCACACUCGGCCAAUUAUUUAUUUAUUGUCCGUCUCUCCAGUGAAAUGGUCCUGAAAAUUAGGCUGGAGGUGGAACUGUAAGAGCAGAGAGGAGGAGAAGGCUCACCAUGAAGACAAAAGAAGUCCUGAGCCUUGGAUUUUCUUCCUCUAGGGCUUUGUGGACCCACAGAUUGGUAGAAGUUCUGUGAGGGCUGACUUCUCCCCAUCUGUCCCAGAUGGAUCCCUUAAGGCUCAGGACACCUCAGAGGACUGGUGCAUGGGCUGCAGCCAGCCUGACCCAGCUCUAUAAAGAAGCUCACCCUUUACAGAUGCCCCAGAGAGGCCCCCAUCCUGCCCUGCAGCCAGCUUCCUGGGCAAGUGGGAUCAGGCACUCGGGGUCUCCCUCCUCCAGGGUUUCCUGAAACAGGAUGCAUUCAGCCCUUGUAGAGUUGCUGGGGAAGUGGAAGGAAAACAGAGGUGACUCUUGAAGCCCCAGGAGCUGACCUUAGAUCUUGACACUCCUGGUGUGUGCAAAGGUCUGAGGAGACGGCCAGAUUGAGGUAAAGCAGUAAAAAUCCGUGCUUGUCAGGAAAGUAGCAAGAGCCGAGUUCUACACUAACCAUUGGCUGGCCUGGGGCAGCCUGCAGCUGCACAACUGCCUCGUACAAUGGCAUGGACAAGCAGUGUCGGUGACGUAGCAGGCCGCUGGGGACCUGGGAGACAUCCUGCUGCUGCAGGAGUCCUGUGCAGAGCAGAGGAGAGAGCAGUUUGGCAAGUGCAGGGGUCCCACUCUUCUUUUGGUUGGUGGCAGGGAGCAGGUGGGGCCUAACCUGGGUGGACAGUGUCUACCUCCCUUCUGUGCAUUUUGCAUUGGCCUUAAUUGGUUCUCCCGGGAUAGUCACGAAAGCCCGACCUUUGUUCCAGGUAAAGUGCUGCAUGUUUCAUGUGUACAGCUCAUUUAAUCUUCACAGGACCUUAUGAAGUAGUUAUUAUAUCUAUUAUCAUCACAGAAAAGAACACUGAGCCUCAGAGAGGUCAAGCAAUUGGCCCAAGAUCACACAGCCUGCAAGAAACAGAGAUGGGACUCAGACCCUGGUCUAUUUGGCUCCCAUGUGCCUUACUACUAUGUUAUACCCACCCCUCCAGGAAUUUCAAGUCCCAAGAAAUGGCCUCCAGAAGGAAAUCCUUUGCCAUCCCCCUAACUUGAGUAUUCAGUGAUUUCUGGAAUAGAACUUGCCUGUUACAGAAAUGGGAAAAAUAUGAAGACACAUGCAAUAAAAAUAAAAACUAAAUUUAGAAUGAAGAGGAGACACAACCUAGGUAAAAUUUAAUUUUCAUUUUGGCUCAUAGGUAAUUUUAUCCUGAAGUGUACUAGGGAUAAUGAUGGCAUGCUGUUUCACUAGAGUAACUGAGUGAAAACAUAAUAAUGAUGAAAAUAAUGAACAUAAUUUUUUAAAAAUUCACCUUGUAGCUUUGUUAUCUAUAGAUGAUGUCAUUAAAAGUUCUGAGAAAUAAAUAUUACUAAUUCAAGUUUACAGAUGAGAAAAAGGAAGAUCAGAGGAGAUAAGGGAUUUGCCCAAUGCUAAUCAAUGAGUAAGGGAAAUGACCAGCGUUGGACCUCCGAAUCCGAGUGUAAUACAUCUUUCUCUGCAGAACUUUGACUCCUUUUUCUUUCUCAUUCUCUAUUCUUUGCCUUCUGGGAUGCCAAUUGCAUGUUUGUUAGACCUUCUCUCUGUGUUUUGAGCAUCUCUUAUAAUCUGCUCAUUUCUUUCUUCCAUAUGCCGUUCAAUAUACAUAUUUUUUUCUAUUGGCAUGUCUUGAAGUUCAGGGAUUUGACUGCUGCUAUGUUCUAUCCACUGUUAAACUCAUCUAGGGAGUUCUUACUUUCAGAUAUUGCAGUUCUAGAAUGUCCAUUUGCUUCUUUUUUUUUAUAAAUUCCAAUCCUCUGUCAAAAUUACUUAUCUUUCCAUCCGUUUUUUUCAAACUUUCCCUUAUUUUUUUAAAAAAAUAUUUUAAAUAAUUUCCUUCAAAUCCUUCUCUGCUAACUCUAACCAUUGGAUACUUUGUGCAUCUGCUUUAUUGUAUGUCUUCCCAUUUAUUGUGGGUCACAUUUUCCUACUUCUUGCAUCUCAUUACUUAGGGUUGUUUGUCAGAUGUUGUUGUUGUUAUGCAUAAAAGACCCGCAGCUACUGAAGUUGAUGUUCUUCUCCCCGAGAAAAAGUUUGCCUUUUCCUUAGCUAGGCAGACAGUACAGGGGGUAUCACUGGAUGCUGUGAGGAAGUGAACUAGAUCACGGCUGGGACUGCAGCUGGGUGUAACUCACUCUGGUUUUGACCAUCUCCUGGGGGACACAUGGGGCACAGGUAGCAUGGACCCCUUUCUCUAGUGCAGGCUUGUCCAACCUGUGGCCCACAGGCUGCAUGAAGCCCAGGACGGCUUUGAAUGCAGCUCAACACAAAUUCAUAAACUUUCUUAAAACACUAUGAGUUUUUUUGCAAAUUUCUUUUUUUAGCUCAUCAGCUACUGUUAGUGUAUUUUAUGUGUGGCCCAAGACAAUUCUUCUUCUUCUGUAGUGGCCCAGAAAAACCAAAAGAUUGGACACCCCUGCUCUCAAGGGACUUUGACUCUUAAGGAACAUGAUACUGAGGGGGAUUUGACUCAUCUCUCCCAGCCCAGCCCCCUUCCUGUAUAAACCAGCCUCUAUCCCAAACCUUCAACAAAGCUGAGUCAAGUUCUCCUAGGCUUUGGAUUGAGCUCCUAUUGUGUCUCUGUCACCUCUUCCCCGAAAGCUGAGCUCUUUAACCUCCACAUCAUGUGGAUUCAAAAUCUGCCAGGUGUUCUGAUUGGGGCCCCGCUGGGUGUGGUUGUCAGCCUCUUCUUCUACUGUGACUUUGACUCCUAGGCACUCUGAGGCUAUGGGAGAUUUCACAAUUCCUGGCUGGCUCAUCCCCUCAGUGUUCUGUGCCACCCCAGAUGCAAUAACUGCCCAGCGGGGAAGGUCAGCCAUGCUUUAGGGACUUCUGGAUGUUCCAUUCUUUGCCAGCCUGCAGGGCCCUGGGUCUCCUCUCUCUUUUCUUCUGCUCGCAGUAAGCCCACUCUUUAGAUGGCCUCAGCAAAUGCCCCUUGGAAAGAAAACUGCCAGCACACUCAUUUCACUCUGCGGGAGCUAUUCCCCUCUGGAAUGUUCAUUCUUUUAGUCUCUUUUGCCUCUAUGAUUCUCCAUACUGUUUAUAAAAACAUGAUUUUUGUGAUACAUCAUUUUUCCCCCUAGCUGUUGCAGUCAGAGGAAUGCCUUGCUAAAUCUUACUCAAAGGCGCAAGUUGGAAAACUGACGGUUAAUUUAUUUUUUCAUCAGUGAGAGCACACCGAGUCAUAUUUUUUGCCAAUAUUUUAUUAUGAAAGUUUGCAAGCAUACAGCAAAGUUGAAAGAAGUUUACAAUCAACAACUCACAUACACAGCAGUGUGUCUGUAAACUGGCUCUCUGGAGGGAAAACAAAAAAUCUGAUUUGUAUUGUUUGCUGAUUUCUGUGGUGUGAAUGUUUUUGUCUUUGCUAAUUUCAAGUUACCAAUGUGACGUGGGGGAGAUUUGUGCAAUAUCAGCUCUGGGGAGCGUAUGUGAGCCAGCUCAGGCCCACCACUGCCUGGAGCCAUCACUUAGAAUCUGUCACCAACAUCUUAGGGUGCUUGUUGAGUCAUGUGUGUAUCUUGCCCUCUAUCCACUGUCAAUCCAUCUUAUGUUUAAAAUGUAUUUCAAUGUAAAUUACAGAUAUAAGAAUAAUUCUUUCUUCUUCAACAUUAACUAGAGUUGGUUCACUAUUUGUUUUUCACUAACUUGCUUUUACUAAUUAAUUUUUUACUAUUUGUUUUGAUGUAAAAUGAAAUCUUAGUCUUAAUUGUGCAUUCACUGAGUUUUGACAAAUCCAUACACCUGUGUAAUCCAGUCCCUAUCAAGAUAUAGAAUACCAUUACUCCAGAAAUUUCCUUUAAAGCUUGGCCAACUAAAAUUUUCAGCUUUUUGGGACAUGGACUGUUACUAAACAAGGCCUCCUUCAUUAUACUUGACCAAAUGAUCAUUCCACCCUAAAUGCAUGUCUUUAUAAUUGUUCAAUUUUGCACUCACCAGGAUGAAUGAUCAGAAAUUUGCUAAUACAAAACUUUGAAAGUAGAUGCACCAUAAUAGGCUGAAAGCUUCAGUACCCAAAGUGUACACCCAUGUUGAGUCAUGCCAAGAAAACAUCACAGACAUUAAACACAGACCAAACCCUCAGUCCCCAGGAAACAAGGGGACGUACAAGCAACCUCACAUCCAUCCCUUCUGAUUCUCUGAAGCUCCAGCUCCCACACAAAGUACAUGUGAAUCAUUCUGAUAAUAAUCCCAUGACAUAGUUGUCAUCCCAAAGAACAAGCCUUUCCAACCUCCUGCCCUGGCUGAUUCGGACGACACCUCACUUGGCAAUAUAUGCAUUUGGCUUCCACCUGCCAUAAGUCAAGGAAAAAUAUCAGGCAAUGGUGGAAAACAAAAUCCAGGAAAAUAUUCACCAAGACAAAGGAGAAAGCAAUCAUUUGCCUUCAGUUAUGGGGAAGGAUAUUUUAGGCUCAAGUGGUGAGAAAUAUUGGACAGUGUUUCAGUUCUCAACCACUAAACCAUGUUCCAGAUGAAGAAGGCAGGUUUGGAGAAAAGCAAAUAGAAUCUCUCACCUGAUGGGCCAAACUAGAAAACAUUUUCAAAAACAAUUUCAUAUAUUUGAGAUAUUAACCACGACAGUAAUUGGGACAUAGGCCUGUCUUUUAUUAUUUGAGAGCUGCUAAGAUUAUGAUACCUUGCCCAUAUGUCACAGCUGAUGAAGCUUUUGUGCUUCGCUACUUAAAUUCUACCACUGAUAUCUCACUCACCAGACCUGUGAGAAUGGAUGAUGCAGAUUUGUUUAACCAUUAGAGCUGUGUAAUAAUUAAAUGGUUUAUUGCUAGAAGGUUCCAUAUUUCAUGACUUCAUGACCACAUGACUCUCUAGCGACCAGAUUUUCCAAGGUGAGUUUGGGUCAUUUUCAUUUGCCAAAUAAAAAUAUGAUACCCAGAGAUAAAGAAUAUUCAAGAAUGUGUUAUUAUUUAGCUCAUUCAACAAAUGUGUAUAUUUAUAUAUUUACUUCUGAUCUCUUUUUCACACAUCAACAGAGUUAUGCUUUGUAGAAUAAUGAUUUGUGAACAAUACCAUUUCCCUGCUAUUGCACAUUUAUGGUGUUUCCAAUUUCUUCAUACGACAGGUAUUGCCACAAUAAAUAACAAGGCAUAGAAAGCGUUCUCUGUAUAUUGGGUUAUUACUUAAGCAUAGAUCGAGGGAUGUAAACCUUUUUAAUACCCUUGAGCAACAUAAUAAAAUUCCCUUCCUAAAAGACUGUAUAAAUUUACAAACCUAUUUUAAAAAGUCUCUGAGCGUCCAUUUCACUGCAGCCUUACCAGCACAGAGUGAUGGUAAUAUAUUGAACAUGUCAAGUUUGAGUAGGGCACGCAGAUCCAGGCUGGAUAUUACCACUCCAACUUUGGAGAAUGUUCUGAAACAGGCCCUGAUCAGUAGACUUAGCUGGGUGAACUUUAAGGUCCCUGCUAAACUUCUAUGAUUAUAUUUGCAAUCAAAUUUUAAUUAUGACACAGCUAGUUAUACUAUGAUUGUUUUAAUAAUACAGCAAUUAUUUUCCAUAAAAUAUUACUAAAAAUAUGCAGAAAAUGCCUGAAUUAGUUCAUAUGAUAGAUAUUGGUAUAAUCUUUUGGUUUUCAGGAUAUUUUGAAGACUAAAGUGGGCAUGCUUACAAUUAAUUGAUUUAAGAUGCAAAUUAUUUUUACUGUUUAGGUAUAUAUAUGUGUGUAUAUAUAUAUCUAAUAUAUAUAUAGGUGAUAUGUUUGCUUGGGCUGCCAUAACAAAAUACCACAAACUGGGUGGUUUAAACAAUAGAAAUUUAUUUCUCACAGUUCUGGAGGCUAGAGGUCCAAGAUCAGGGUGCCAGCAUGGAUGAGCUCUGGUGAGGAUUCUGUUCCUCACUUACAGAUGGCCACCUUCUUGCUGUGUCAAUGAGGUGUUAAAUGAGGACAUAAUAAAAGGAGAGAGAGUUGAAGAGACAGAGUGGGGAGGGUUGGGGAGAGAUAGACAUAUCUUAUAAGGCCAUAGUCCUAUUGGAUUAGUGUUCCACGUUUAGGACUUCAUUUAGCCUGAAUCACCUCCUGAAGACUCUUUCUCCAUAUAUAGUCACAUUGGGAGUUAAGGCUUCAAUGUAUAAUUUGGGGGAAACACAUUUUAAUCCACAGCAGUAUGCAUCUCCAAUAAAAAUGUAUGGUUGGGAUAAUAGUUGAACAAUACUAAAGCAUAUCUUUUUGAGUAUAAAUCGUCAAGUUGAUUUUGUUUUCAGUCUCAAGUGUUUUUCUAUGACUUCUUGUCAAGUCUCCUUCUAGGUCACCAGCUGGGAUGGGAGGCCAACUCUCCAAAUCAGAAGAGGUAAGCAGUUGUUACUGAGGAGUUGACUUCCUUCCCAUUUUGUUCCCUUCAGAUUUGGGAUUUAUGUUAAGACCUUGUUAUGAUUAUCUAGUGCUACAUAACAAAUCGUUCCAAAAUUUAGUGGCUGAAAACAAUGGCAAUCAUUUUACUAUCUGUUACAGUUUUUCUGGGUCAGGAAUUUGAGCAGGACUUGCCUACGUGAUUUUGGCUUGAGGACUCUCACAUGGUGGUAAUAGAUGGAAGUUGAAACUGGAGCAGAGGAGCAGAAGUGGCUGGAGUGGCAGGAACUGGCCAGGCAUCUCUUCCUCUCUGGAUAUAUAGACACUGGGCCUCUUCAUCGGGUCUUUCUGCAGGGCUGGUUGUGCUUCCUCACUGCAUGGUGGCUCAGGGCAGUCAGACCACCUGCGUGGUGGCUCAGCACUCCAGCACAGUGUCCCAUCACUCAAGGUAGAAGCUGCAUUGUCCUCUAGGGCUUAGCCUCUGAAGCCAUGCAGCGUCACUUCCUGAGCUUCCUUGUAACCACUUCCUGUUGGUUAUAAGUGAGGCACAAGCCCAUCCAAAUUCAAAGGAAGAAGAGUUAGACUCCAUCACUUAAUAGGAACGUGGCAAGAUUCUAGAAGAGCAAAUGGGAUAAGAAUUAUUGUUGCAUUCAUCUUAGAAAAAUACAAUCCGCUACAAAGCCCCCUCAUGGAGCACCCAGAUCUGAGAAGGGGGUGCUUUCCACUAAAGUCUCUGCCUCCAUUUUCCACUUCCUCUGCUUCCUUCUCCUUCUUGUGUUCUCCAUGAGCAUUAAACCAAAAUAAACAGUUCUGAGUACCCCUUUUAAUCAAGAUGUGUGAAAAAAUGUGGAAGCUCAUCCUUGGAAGAAUAAUAAUAGAAACUAGCUUUAUUUAUCCUGGGUAAGAGACGUAAGAGGAGAUGAUGGGAUCACUAUCCCAGCACAUGUGAAAGACGGGAACAGGCUUGUCCUGGGCUGCUCCAGAGGGUGGGUGGUACAGGAUUUUUCACAGUCCUGGAGAAACUCAGAGGCUUCCUUGGCUGACCACUUUUUUUUUUCUCUUUUUCAGCUUUAUUGAAAAACAAAUGACAAAUAAAAGUUGUAUAUAUUCAAGGUAUACAAUGUGAUGCUUUGAUACAUUGUGAAAUGAUGACCUCAGUCAAGCUAAUUAAGAUAUCCAUCACUUCCUGGAGGUACCUUUGUGUCUAUAUGUGCUCCGAGCCCCUGGAACAAUGUUGUUCAUUCUGCGGAUGCUCAGCAAGCCCUUGCUGACUGUCUUUAUUUCUUCACCUGCAAUAAGAUCCCCCCAGGCCCAUAUGGAAACGUAAAUGUUCUUGAGGGACUAAUUCAGUGAGACUCUUCCAGGGGAAGUUCAGUCCUCCUGGGAAGUGAUUACACACUGAUGGAAUUUUUGCACACUGGAUGGAAAGAUGAUCUUUGCCUCUUGGCUGUGUCACAGUAAUAAGUGGGAGACUGAUUAUUUCUAAGAGUGCAGCUCUUCCCGGCACUGAUAAGAAUGGAAUGCAGCGCUACCAUGGAGAUUCGGGUCACUAAUUAGUCCCAGAAGCCUCUAGGCCUUGAAUCACUGUUAUAUUAAUUAUGCAUCAAAUUAGAAUGUUUGCAAAGGCUCAGAGCCAACUGUACUGCAGAACCCGGUGACAGCAUGGAGAGAUCAAGGAGUGUCCCGCCCAGCACACUGCAGGGACCAGCAGACAAAUCCACGCGGCCUGCCUGAGCGUGCAGUGACCCCGCCUGAUCUCUGAUACAGCUGUUCGCAACUCCUGCCAGAGAGCUUGUUAUCGGCACAGGGUGGACAAAAGAAGGAAAGGAAGAGAACGAUGGCUUCCCCUCAGUUCCAUAAUCUAAGCUCUACUGCGGUAAUAUCCAGCUGAGAAAAGACACAGGACAAUCAUUUGGGCACUUUAUUUCCAUGGUAACAAAUAGAAGAUUCUUCCAGAUGUUUGCUAACAUCGUGGAGGUAACAUGUCUGGACCGUUGUCUGAUAUUCAGUUUUUAUAGCUGGGGAGACAUGGCUUUAGCUUUGGGUAAACUAUUCUAUCUCUUCCUCCUCUUCCUCUGCCUCCUUCUCCUUCUUGUGUUCUCCAUGAGCAUAAAACCAAAAUAUACUUGAUGCUUUGUUGUAAAAUAAACAGAUGAUAAAUAGCAGUCUCUGUGACUGUUGGGUUAUAAUUCCAUCGAGGGCUGGGGUUGAAGUCAUAAACCACAAGAAGUGAAGCAUGACCCACAAAUAGCCUUCAGGAUGGAAUUACAGCCCCAUAAUUCAGAGUAGCCCUUUGAAAAAAUAAUUCCUAAACCUAGCUAUAAUUUGGGGAAAGAGCCACGACAGUGGUGACGUCUUCUCUAAUCAGUUCAUCAGUAGACAAAUUACUCCCCUUCGUUAUUCUGAUGAUAUUUAUUAACGUUGGGGUGAGCACCCAAUCUGUUUUCUAGGAGGUUACUGUUGAAACCAGGUAGCAGUCGCCCAAACAGAACCAAAGAAAGGGAAACUGGAGUCUCACAGUAAGAAAGUUCUCACCACAGAUGAAGGUCAAUGAGCAUGAGGUGAGAAGAGACAUUCAUUACUUUGGAACUGAUGAGAAAUAUUGAUUCCUGACCACAGGAGUAGUGGCCGAGUUUGUUUUGCGUGGAGUGUGGCAUAAAUUCCGUCCCUGUUCUGCAUCUUACUACUUCUCUAAAUGUCUUUGCUAUUUUCAAAACUGAUUCUGCUUGAUCUCAUAAUUCAUUAAAGCAAGUUGAUCUCAUGCACCCCAAGAGUUAUGAGAAGCUUUUUCAUGAUGGUUCUUGCAUGAUGAAAAUAAAUUCUCAUUUAUUACAGAGAAAAUAAACCGAACCCAACAAUUCUGUAGAAGGUGAAUGUUUAAAUGGCAGUUUCUUGUGAUCAUAAAUUAAACCAUCAAAAUCCCAUAAGGUUUCUCUGCAGCCUAGAUAUUAAAUAAAACAACAAACAUGCAAGGACUGGCAAGUGGUAAGGGCUUAAUACAUGGUCAUUCACUACCAUAAUUUGUACCAUAAAAUUCAGAAAUUCUUUACAUGCUUUGUGUGUUAUUAUCUACUUUGUCAAUGACGCUGAAGACAUGAGGAGAACAAGGGUCUCAUCUGACGCAUUAUGCCUUUCCACAUAGACAAUGUAGAAUAUUAUUUAAAACAGAGUCUACAGCAUGAAGAAAAUAGAAGCAACAGAAAACAACAAGCUAAUAUAUAAACUAUUAAGGCAAAAUGGACAAAGAAUAUGAUCAUUUAAAAGUCGAGCUUAUUGAGGUAUAAUUUGCAGAUAUGCUUUGUGUUUAAUUUGCUCCUUCUUUCCUAGUUUAAGGUGGAAACUUAGAUCAUUGAUUUGAGAUAUGUCUUCUCUUUCAAACACAAAUAUAUAAAAGUGUGAAUUUUACUCUAAGUACUGUUUUGGCAACAACACACACAUUUUGAUAUGUUAGGUUUUUAUUUUUGCUUUGGUUCAAACUAUUUUCUAAUUUUUCUUGUGAUUAAGUUUGAGAAUUUAACAAUAGAAAACAGAAAACAAAUACUUCGUUAUUGAUUUCUAUUUUAAUUUUGUUAUGAUCAGAAAACAUGCUUUGUAUGAUUUAAAGUCCUUUAAAUUUAUUGAGCCUUAUUUUUUGACCCAGAUAUGAUCUUUCUUUGUGAAUGUUGUGUCUGCAUUUGAAAAGAAUUUGUGUUCUGCUAUUGCUGGAUGGAGUAUUCCAUAGCUGUCAGUUAAGACAGUGGUUAGUGGUUCCAUUUAUCUUCUAUGUUUUUCUGUAUGCUUGUAUAUCUGAGAAAAGGAUGCUGAAAUUUCUAACUAUCACUGUGAAUUUGUCUGUUUCUCCUUUUGGUUCUGUCAUUUUUUAUUUUAUUUGUUUUGACAUUGUUAGGUAUUAUUAGGUGCAUGUACAUUUGGAACUGUUAUGCACUCAUGAUGAACUGAGUUCUUUCUUGUUAUAAAAUGUCUCCCUUUAGCCUACAUAAUAAUAUGUGUUCUGAGGCCUACUUUGUGUGAUAUGAAUUACAGCCAUUCCAGAUUUCUUUUGAUUAGCUUCUGCAUGGUACUUUUUUCAUCCUCUUCGUUUUAUCUAUAUAUUUAUACAUAUUGUAUAUUUCUUGUAGACAAAAAUAGGUAUGUCUUGCUUUUUAAAACCCAAUAUGACAAUCUGCUUUUUUAAUUAGAAUGUGAAGAAUUUUCUCUAAUAUUUCUUAUAAUAUAGGUCUGUAGUUUAUGGAUCCUAUCAGCUUUUAUUUGUAUAAAAAUAUUUUCUCUAUUUCUAAUUCACUCUCUAUUUUGCCUUCAUUUUUAAGAGAUAUAUUUCCUGGGAAUCCUAUGAUGACGGUUCUUUCUGUCAGCACUUUUAAGAUAUUCAUCCAUUUUCUUUUGGUCGGCAUAUUUUCUCAUAAGAAGUCUGCUGUCAUGCUUGUCUUUAUUACUCUGUAAGUAGUAUGUCUUUUAUCUCUGGCUGCUUUUAAGAUUUGUUUAUCUCUGAUUUUUAACAAUGGGAUCAUGAUGCGUUUUAGCAUAUACGUCUUUAUAUGUAUUCUGCUUGGGUUUCAUGGAGCUUUGUUGACAUAGUUUUCAUUAAAUAUAGAUAAACUUCUAGCUAUUAUUAUUUCUUCAUCUAUCUUCCCUCUUCCUUUCUGGGACUCUAAUUUCACAUGGUAGACAGCCUUGAUAUUGUUCCAUAGAUACUAGAUAUUAUUUUUGUUUUCGUCCAUCUUUUUUGUUUCUCUGUACUUAAUUUUGGAUAUUUUCUAUUGGCAUGUCUUUGAGUUCACUGAUCUCUUCUUCUGCAGUUCCAAAUUGGCCACAAAACUGUCCAGUAUAUUUUUUGUUUCAGAUCACAUAAUUUUCACCUCUAUCAGUUCCAUUGUGGUACCUCUCUCUCUUCUUUAAAAUAUAUUCCUUUCUGCUCCUCAUAGUGUUGUUUUUCCCUCCUUCUUGAGCAUAUUAAGCGUGUUUAUGAUAGUUAUGAUAGCUGUUUUAAAAUUUGUUUCUAAUUUCUGAAUUUCUGUCAUUUCUGUUUCACUUCAACUUAUUGGCCUUUUCUAGGUAUGGGCCAUAUAUUUCUGCAUUUUUGCAUACCUGAUAAGUUUUUAUUUGAUGUCAUAUAUUGUGAGAUUUUACAUUGUUGUGUGUGGAUUGUGUUAUAUUCCUUUUGAUAGUGUUGGACUUUGUCCUGGCAUCCAGUCAGAACAGUGAUUGCCUCUGGGAAGUGGUGAGAUUGAUGUUCAAGGUAAUUGAAUGGCUCUGUAUCUAGAUCUGGGUAUUGGUUACAUGGCUGUGUGCUUGCUACAAAACUCAUCCAUAUAUAUACACUUACAACAUGUGCAUUUUACUCUAAGUAAAUUACACUCAAAAAUAUUAUAAAAUGUUAUAUAUGACCAUUUAAAAAAUUUGAAAUAAUACAAUUAUAUAAAGAAUAACAACUAAAAGUCCUAUCUUCCUCCAUCUCAAUUGCACUGCCUCUUCAUUAUUCCUUCUUUCCCAAAAUCUUACCAUUCAUAAACCAGUUAAAUCCUUUUCUAUAUCACCUUCAAAAUCUUUAUCUAUGGAUUUACACCUGUAGCAUCAUGGUUAAGACCACAGGCUCUAGAAACAAGACUGCUUGGGACAGAAUCAUGGCUCUACUACUUAGUAGAUUCAUUUUGCCUAGUUUUGAACAUCAUACAAAUAGACAGAAAAAGUAGGCAUUUCUGUAUUUGACUUCCUUCCCUCAAUGUCAUAUUUUUGAGGUUCAUUGAUGUUGCUUAUGUCAAUAGUUUAUUCCUUUUUCUUGUACCCAGUUAUAUAUAUCAUUUUAUAAAUAUAACACCAUUUUCUUUUCUGUUCUCUGACUGAUAGACAUUUGGGUUGUAUCCAGUUUGGGCUAUCAUGAUAAAAGCUGCUGGGAAUAUUCUUGUACAAGUUUUUGGUGGAUACGUGUUUUUAUUUAUCUAGAGUAAAUAUUUAGGAGUGAACUUGCUGGGUCAUAGGGUAUGUUUAAAUCUAUUUAAAAAAACCUAACUAUUUUUAUUUAACAUUGCUUUCAGUAAAGUAUGAGAGUUCCAGUUCUUCUACAUCCUAACCAGCACUUGACAUGGGUCAGUCUUUUACAUUUUAGCCAUCUAAUAGGUGUGUUUUGAUAUCUUUUGUGACUUUAAUUUUCGUUUCCCUGAUUACUAAUGAUGUUAAUAUUUUCAUGUGCUUAUUUACCAUUUGUAUAUCUUCCUUUGUUAAGUAUUUGUCCAAGUCCUUUGCCUAUUGUUCUGUUAAAUAGUGCAGUGUAACACAGAUAAACCCAUAACUUAUUGGCUUAAAGAUUAGUUUUAAAUUUUGUUUAUCAAUCUUCCAUUUGGGCAGGAUUCAGUUUGGACAGCUGAUUUCUGCUCCAUGUGGCAUCAGUUGGAGGAGCUCGACUGGGGCUGGGUGUUCUCCCAUAUGGCUUACGUACAUGCCUGGCAAGUUGAUGCUGUCAGCAGGAAACUUCGCUAAGGCUGUUAGCCAGAUGCCUUUGUUCCUCUUCACUUGAGUCUGUCCAUUUGAUUGCUUGGACUUCCUCAAGCGUGGGGGCUGUGUUCUAAGGAUGUGUGUUUUAAGAGAACAGAAGUGAAUGCUGUCAAUCUCAUAAGGUCUUGACUUGGGCACUGGGUUAGUAGCUUCACUUCCAUCAUACUCUGUUGGUCAAAGCAGUGCAGAAUUCACUCAGAUUCAUAGGGAGAGGACAUAGACUGUUUCUUCGUGGGGGGAAUGAGACAACAAUUAAUCCACCAUAGUCCAUCCUCUGAUUGGACUGCAUGGUUGGAAUGAAUGAUUUGCAUCAAUCCCAUGUAAAAAAUAGAAUCAGUUCCUCCUAAGACCUAUGAAAAUUUUACACCUUGUCUCUAGCUUUCAUCCUCCAAUCAAACUUGAAGCUCUUAGGAAAAAGCCAGUUAAGUAUGGAUCUCAUCCCUUAAAUUUUCUUAUUAUUAAGGUAAUAUCAGCUCCAUUUCUGUUUGCUUCCAGUACUCUUCAGUGUUUUCAAACAAUUGAUUUUUAUAUUUUGUACAUAGUUUAUAAUUGCUUUUGGCAAGAUUAGCAUAAUAAAAGCUUCUCCUCCUACUGUUGAAAACAGAGUCUCUUUGUAUAACAUACAAAAUACAUUUUUAAAAUAUUUAUAAUGAGGCAGGGCACAGUAGCUCAUGCCUAUAAUCCCAGCACUUGAGAGGCUGAGGCAGGAAGAUCCCUUGAGGCCUGGAGUUCGAGACCAGCUUGGGCAACAUGGUGAGACCCUCAUUUCUACAAAAACAAACAAACAAACAAACAAACAAACAAACAAAAUUAAAAAAAAAAUUAGCCAGGUGUAGUGGUGUGUGGCUAUAGCCCCAGCUACUCAGGAAGCUGAUGGGCUCACUUAAGCCCAGUAGUUUUAGGCUGCUGGGAGUUUUAGGCUGAUGGGAGGAUCACUUAAGCCCAGUAGUUUUAGGCUGCAGUGAGCUAUGACCACACCACUUCCCACCAGCUUGGGCAACAGAGCAAGGCCCUGUCUCUAAAAAUAUAUAUAUUUAAAAUGAGGAAAAGUAAAAGUAACCCUAAACAAUAGUAUAUAAAAUGCAAACACCUAGUAAAAACAACAAAAAAAAAUUCACAUGGGAAAUGAUUUCUAGUCUUGAACAAUUUACUGAUUAUUUGACAUCAAAGAACAGCAUUGAAUGUAACAUAAGCAGGUUGCUUUAUAUGUUUGGGCUCAGAUAUUUAUCUGAAGGACAAGAGGUUUAGAUCAGACAAUGUAAAUAAUCCUUUAGAUGUUUGAGGCCUACGAUUCGAAUAACCUUAUAAUUAAAUGUAGCAUUUGAUUUCCAUUUUGGUGAAUGUAAAGAAAGCUUAAGAAUUUACAAUUUAUAUGGUCAGUAUGACAUCAGAAUACAGAAAAAAGAAAUUACCUCAAACCGUACAAUUAUCUUUUCAGAUGGAGCUUACAGUUCCUUUCUUCUCUAACAGGGUUCACAAGCUCAAGAAGUACCUGAAAUUGGGCUAGGAAAUAGUCACAGAGUAAACAUGGCUUGUUUUCUGAGGGUAUCAAUUUUACCUUAUAAUUUUGAGUAAAAUCACAUUCAUAAAUCAUAUUGCAUAAAAAUAAACUUAGAUAACUUAUGGUAUAAAAUACAAAUAUUAUAUAAAUAUUUAAAGCUUAAAAUAGAAAAAAAGUCUAUUUGGAGAGAAACCUUAGGGCAACUAUUUCAGUUGCUGGAGGAGAAAGACUUUGUCUCUUCUGGUAUUGUAAUAGAAAAGUUUGAGAAAUGCUAUAAAUUCACUGGGCGUUGGGCAAGAAGUCUAAAAUCCUGCUCUUUAUUUAAGAUCUGCAACCAUCAUUGGAUCUAUGCCAUAAAUAUGUUUUAUUUACCCAGACAUCUGCACUAUUUAUUUAGCUUUAGUCACUGAACGAACAGUUUUCAUUCUGUAUGAGGUGCUACCCUCAAAACUAUUUGUCUGUUUCUCAGUACGUUUUUGGUUGAUGGAGUUUGGAUGAAAUAUCUGUUUCUCUGACCCUCCACUUAAGGCAAAACAUAGCAGCCUGCCCUUCCUUUCCAGGUGCAGACAGAACUGAGAUUAGCAUGAACCAUUCCUUCCAGUUGACUACCAAGGGGUAAACUAUGAAGAGUUUUGCAUUGUGAUUUAGGGGUCUCAAUUGUUCUCCCUUCCACCAUGGGCUGUGAUAGUGCCUAAAGCACCAGUCCUCUGAGGUAGGACAGAGUGAUCUUGAUAGGCCAAUACUAUGAAAGAUGAGAGGGAAAUCCUCUCUCAAGCCAUUUGUCAUUUCUAAACACCUUGAUUCAAGCUAGUUGGCCAUAAUUUAAAAAUAAGCCCUUAAAUUAUUUAACACUCUUCCUAUUUAAAGUCAGACUCUAAUUCCUCUUCCCCUGAAUAUAGUCCAGCCAGUGACUUGCUUUACAAGAAUACACUUAGGCUGAACUGAUGCUGUGUGAUUUUUUUUUUUUUAAACUAGGGUAGGGAAGACAACUCAAUUCUGCCCAGAGAGCUCUUUUUCACUCAACUGAAUACGCACUGGGAGCCAUAAGCCAACAUGUAAGGAAUUCAGCUACUCAGAAGCUAUCAUGCUGGAAAGACCAUGUAGAAAACUUACAGACAUAGAAAAAGUUCCUUGAGGGCUCCAGCCCCCAGCUAUUUGAGAAUUCCAGGUCCAUGCCUCAGGCCUAUAAGCCAGGAGCUUUCAGAUGAUUCCAGUCUUCAAGCCAUCCCAGCUCCUGGUAAAUCGAGCAGAGAUGAGCCAUCCCCGCUAAGCCCUGCCCAAAUGGCAGAUUCAUGAGCAAAACAAAUGCUCUUGUUGUUUUAAGCCACUGAGUUUUGAGGUGGUUUGUUGGUUUGUUAGGUAGUAAUAGAAAAAUGGAUUCUUUCCUAUUACCUAGUCAAAUUCUGAGGAAAUGGGACAUAAGUAAAUCAUAUUUGUUUUCAUAUACAUUUCCUGUUUUAAAAUUGGGUUGUUUGUAGAUAAAAAGAGAAAGGCAAGGAGAGUUCAGAAUCACAAUGCACUAAAAGAAAGAGUUCAGAGAGGUGGGAAAUGAAAUACUUUCACAGAUAUCUCCAAUAAAUAUGCAUGUGCACAGAACCUUGAAAGUUUUAAAUUGGCAGGGAUCUUAGGAAUCAUAAAACUGAACCUACUUUUCAAAAGUAAAGUUCAAGGAAUUAACUCAUUUGGGCAGGAUUCCAGAGCCAGAAUAGAGCCCAAGAUUCCAAACCUAGCCACUGACUGCAGUACCUCUUUUCUCGAGGCAUGUAUAAUAAACUCCACCAAUUUAGCCAAAUAAUAAGGGCAAGAUCAAAUAAACAAAAAAGCAAUAGCAACAACAGCAACAAUUCUGCAUAACCUAACUGGCUAUUUCUAAAAGUAGUUGUCUUUGCUCUGCCUGUCCCUGUCUAUUGUCUCCUUGUGGAAUAAGUGUGUCCACCCCUGGGUCCUUGACAUUAAAGGGUUUGGGAAACUGCUACAGAAUUCGCAGUUCUAGUUCUCCAGGCAAGGGAGUUAAUGGAUCUCAGACAUGCUUAUGUUAUUUCACUACACACAGCAGUGUAUUUGUGGAGUGCUUACCAUGUGAUAGCAGCUGUACUAAGUACUUUAUGUACAUUAUUUCAUUUUAUCCUGCUUUGAAUUUUUUAUAAAUCAAGUUUAUUGUGGUAUAAUUUUUAUAUACUAAAAAGCACCCAUAUGAUAGUUUAAAGAGUUUAGACAAAUAUAUAGACCGUGUGACACCUAGCAUAAUCAACACACAGAAAAUUUUCAUUCCCCCACCCCCAAAAAGUUUCUUUAUGCUUCUUUGCAGAUAAUCCUCCUCCUGCUGUGCCCAGGCAACCCAAAGUCCUUUCCAUCACUAUCGAUUUUAUGCCUAUUCCCAAAUUUCAUAUAAAUAGAAUCCCACAUUAUGUAUUCUUUUGUGUCUGGAUUCUUUUGCUUGGCAUAAUGUUUUUCAGGUUCACCCGUAUAAUUGUGUGGACCAGGAGUUUGCAACUUUUUAUUGUUGAGUUUUAUUCCAUUGUAUAGAUAUACCACAAUCGGUUUAUCCAUUCUCCAAUUUAUGGAUUUUUUUUUCCAGUUUGGGGCUAUUAUGAUUAAAGCUGCUAUGAACAUUCUUGUAUAAGUCUGGGUAGAAAUAUUUUAUUUAUUUAUUUAUUUUUUGAGACAGAGUCUCACUCUGUUGCCCAGGCUGGAGUGCAGUGGUGCUAUAUUGGCUCACUGCAAGCUUUGCCUCCUGGGUUCACGCCAUUCUCCUGCCUCAGCCUCCCGAGUAGCUGGGACUACAGGCGCCUGCCACCACGCCCAGCUAAUUUUUUUUUUGUAUUUUUAGUAGAGACGGGGUUUCACCGUGUUAGCCAGGAUGGUCUCGAUCUCCUGACCUCGUGAUCCGCCCACCUUGGCCUCCCAAACUGCUGGGAUUACAGGCAUGAGCCACCACACCCAGCUGAAAUAUGCUUUUAUUUAAUUAUCUUAGGUCGAUGCCUAAGGGCGGGCCAUAUGGUAAGUGUAUAUUUAACUUUGUGAGACACUGCCAAACUGUUUUCCAAUAUGGUUGAAUCAUUUAUGUUUCUAUCUGCCAUAUGUAAGAGUUCCAGUUUCUCCACAGAUUUGCCACCCUACUAUGUGUGUAGUGGUAUCUCACUAAGGUAUCAAUUUGCAUUUUUCUGAUGUCUAAUGGUGUUGAGUACUGUGUCUUUAUUUGCUAUUUAUAUACCUUUUUUGAUGAAGUAUCUUUUCAAAUACAUUCCCCAUUUUAAAACGGGGCUAUUUGUUUCCUUAUUAUUGAAUUGUAGGUGUUCUUCCUGUAUAUAUUCUGGAUACAAGUCCUUUGUUAGAGAUAUGUACUGUCAAUUAUAGAUGCUGUACUGUAAAAGUCUGUCACUUGCCUUUUCACUUUCUUGACAGCAUCUUUCAAAGAGCAGGAAUAUUAAAUUUUGAUAAAACCUAAUCAGUUUUCUUUCCUUUAUGGAUCAUGCUUUUGAUGCCCUAUUAUGUUAAAGUUUUAAAGUUGGACUGUUGAGAGGGAAAAGGAGCCAAUCUGAAAAGAUAAUCCAAGGCAUGACUAAGAAAGCAUUAGUUCUGAAUUCUGGGAUUACAUCAGAAUCAGCAGGUGAUUUAAAAACACCUGUCUAGGACCUAGCCCCAGAAAUUCCAAUUUAGACUGAUCUAUGGUGUAGCCUAAUUGUGAAUAGUCUUUAGAGGCUCUUUUGGUGAUCCUAAUGUGCAGCUAUGGAUGAGAAUUAUCAAAAAAGAGGUAAAGUGUGUGCAAAAUAUGUGAAAUUUAUUUCAGCAUAUAUAAGGCUUUCAUUAAUGGGGUAUUUUGUAUAAUUCUAAAGGAGUCACAUGUUAAAGUGCACAACUGAAAUCUAGUAUGUAAUAAUCAUUUGUAUUUAUACUUUUUUGAGACAAAGGAAGUAGAUAAGCAACACCCCUGAGUUUCAGACAUCACAAUGCCAUAGUGUGCUUUAUGGGAAUAUAGAGAUGCAAGGAAAAGUGUCUGAAAAAGACACACACACACAUACACACACACACACACACACACAAGAUAGUCAAGAUGCUUUUAUAAUCAUUUUAAGAGGUCUUCAUCAUGAGGUUAAAUAAGUCAUUAAAAAAAGCAAAAUAGGCAGAAAAAGCUUUUUAGCAGAAAGUUUAUAAAAAUUGCUGGGGAGUAACAAACAGGAUAAAUAGGGAAAAUCUACAGCUGAUACAUGUUGAAGUAAUUGACUUAAAAGGUUUAUUUAGAGGAAGUAUUUUGCUAUAGCAGAGUGAGAAGUUUAGCAAUGCUUCUUCCCCCAAAAAACAAGUAUAAAAUUGGAAAAACUAUUUAAAAAAUGGUCUCAGGGCUCUGAAAAUCAACCAAAGAAAAAUAACAACUUGAGAAAUGGUUAUUGGUGAAAAAUGGCUAGAAAUGUGGAUAAGAAAAGUGUAGAUUCUAUAGAGAUCUACAGCCUUCUUGCCUAGGACUAUCCCUCUCCCUUAACUCCUCCUAAAACUUGGUUAGCGCGCUAGUUUUAGCAAGGCAGGACUGACUAUGAAAACCAGCAGUACUGCUAGAGGGGGUUGACUUGAUUUGAACUGGAGGUUCCAAACCUAUUCCUGGCAGCAUUAUCAAGAAAAGUAGGAUACAUGGUAGGAAAUAAAUGGGGAAUUUUUACAGCUCUGCUAACCUGAGUUUGCAGUACCAGUUAGGGCUAGUUAUGGGCUAGUCAAACUCUUAACAGGAAGUUUCUGGAAAUGAGAGUCAUAUAAGGGCUAGAUAAGCUCUCUGUGCCUUUCUGGCUGGAUGAGAAACUACGUUUACAGGAGAGCUAUGUAAAGUAAAAGCUAGGACAGACUUGAAAAGUGCCUGAACUUUGAAUGCGUCCUCUCUCCUGUCUGCCCCACCCAAUUCACACACAGAUCUAUUAGCAGAAGGUGGAAACCUUACAGGCUUAAGGUAUUUGAGCACAACCUCUUAUCAAUCACUGACAAACCAGCAGAUACAGGACUACACAUUGGAAGCUAGGCAAAAAUGAAUGAAUGAAUGGAGAAUUAUUUUAAACUGAGCAGAGACAUCAGUGGCAGCACAUCUCAGAGAAACAGAUUCUGUAAACUAGGUUGGAGUAAAUUAUCUAAAGGAACAACUAUCUUGUGGGAAAAUAUCAUAUCCCAGAGUUGUUACAAUAUUAAUCUAAAAUGUCCAGUUUUUUUUCUUUUUAAGACAAGUUUUGGCUGUAUCACCCAGGCUGGAGUGUAGUGGUGCAAUCUCAGCUCACUGCAACCUCCACCUCUUAGGCUCAAGCCAUCCUCCCACCUCAGCCUCCCAAGUAGCUGGGUCUACAGGCACGCACCAACACGCCUGGCUAAUUUUUGUAUUUUUUUGUAGAGGCAGGUUUUCACCAUGUUGCCCAGGCUGGUCUUGAACUUGUGAGCUCAAGUGAUCCAUCCACCUUGGCCUCCCAAAGUGCUGGGAUUAUAGGCAUGAGCCACCACGCACAACCAAAUGUCCAGUUUUCAAUGAAACAUCAUGACAUAGUCAAAGAAACAAGAAAAUGUGAUCCAUAGUCAGGAAAAAAACAGUCCAUGGAAACUGACUUUGAGUGCACCUAAAUAUAUUUAGCACACUAAGACUUCAAAACAGCUCUUGUAUUUUAAAAAUUAAAGUAUGAUGAUAAUGACACUGUAAUAGGAAUGCUCAGUAGAGAAACAGAAGCAAUAAUAAGGAACCAAUGGAACUUCUAGAAUUUAAAAGCCCUAUAGCUGAAAUAAAAAAUUAAAUGGGCACAUUUGGGGUGGCAAAAGAAAUAAUUGGUGAACUUCAAAUAGAUCAAUAGAAAUUAACCACUCUGAAGAACAUGGAAAAACAUAGAUUGAAGAAAAAUGAGCAGAGCCUCAGAGACCCAUGUGGCAAUAUCCAGCAUACCUACUAACACGUAAUGAGAGUCCCAGAAAGAGAAGAUAGAGAUACAUGCAGGAAAAAUACUUGAAGAAAUAAUGGCUAAACAUUCUGCAAAUUUAAUGAAAAACAUGAAUUAUACAUCUACAAAGCUCAACAAACUCUAAAUAGGAUAAACAUUAAAAUCCCCAUCUAUACACAUUAGAGUAAAAUUAACUGAAAACCAAACACAAAUAGAAAAUCUUAAAAGCAGCAAGAGAAAACCAGUUCAUCCUAAACUGGGGAAUAACAAGACAAUUAAUGCCUGAUUUCUUAUCUGAAACAAUGGAGGCCAGAAGGCAGUGGAAGGACACAUUUAAAGUGAUGAAAAAAAAAACUGUCAACCACAAAUUCUGUGUGCAAAACAAUUCUUCAAAAACAGGUGAAAUAAAGAAACUCCCAGAUGAAGACUGAGAUAAAUUAUUGCUGACAGAUACAGCUUCCAAGAAAUUCUACAGAAAAUGAAAGGAAAUGACACCAUAAGGCAAAUCCACAGGGAGAAAUGAAGAGCACCAGAAAUGGUAACUACGUGGGUCAAUAUAUAAGAUUGUAUAAACAUGUAUUUUCUAUUUUUUUUAAAACACAUCAGAUUUUGUGAAGCAAUAAUUGAAACACUAUUGUUGAGUUUAUAAUGUUAUAUAGAUAUUACAUAUGUGACAAUAAUAGCACAUAUAAGGAGAUGGGAUGAAAUUAAGCUAUAUAAGAGCAUCAGUGUUGGAUUUUGCUGAAAGUAAAUCAGUAUUAACAUGAAUUAUAUUGAUAAAUUAAGAGUACACCUUAAUCCCUACAGCAAACACAAAGAAAAUAAAGAAUCAAUAGAAUAAUAAAGUGAUACACCAAAAAUAAUUGUUUAACCUAAAGACAGCAGUAAAGGAGUAACAGAGGAACAACAACAAAAAGACAUAAACUAUAUUUAAAACAAACAGCAAAAUGGCAGACAUAAGUCCAAUUCUAUCAAUAAUCAUAUUAAAUAGUCCGUUAAAUCAACUAAACACUGUAAUGAAAAUACAAAGAUUGGCAGAUGGGAUACAAAAGAAAGAUUCAACUAUGUGCUGACCACGAAAGACAUACUUGAAAUGCAAAGAUACAACUAAAUUUAAAGUAAAAGAAGUGGAAAAGAUAUAUUAUACAAACAGUAAUCAUAAGAAAGCUGGAGUGGAUAUAUUAAUAUCAAACAAAGUAGACUUUCAGAAAAUAAAUAUUACUAGAGAUUCAGAGGGACAUUUCAUAAGCAUAAAAAAGUCAAUACAUCAGGAAGAUACGAUGUUAUUAGCACCAUGCUCUAACCAACUGAGCUGACCAGCCAUCACAUGAUCUUAAAUAUAUUUGUACCUAACAACAGGAUUCUGAAAUACAUCAAGUAAAAGCAAAGGGCAUUGAAAAGGCAAUGUAGAUGAUUUAAUAAUUAUAGUUCAAGAUUUUAAGACCCUUGAUACUGACAGAGAAAGUAGACAGAAAAUUAGUAAAGAGAAAAGGUUAAAAAAAACGAUUAUUCAACAUGGUGGUUUAACUGACAUGUAUAGAACACUUCCCCCUGCAGCAGCAAAAAAUAUUCUUUCAAGUGCAUUUGGAAGUUUCUUCAGGACAGAUCAUACGAUAGGCUUUAAAGCAAGUUUUCGGCCAGGUACGGUGGCUCAUGCCUGUAAUCCCAGCACCGUGGGAGACCGAGGCGGGUGAAUCACCUGGUGUCAGGAGUUUAAGACCAGCCUGGCCAACAUGGUGAAACCCCAUCUCUACUAGAAAUGCAAAUGUCAGCCAGGUCCACACCUGGACACCAGGUAUCAGUCACCUGUAAUCCCAGCUACUCAGGAGGCUGAGGCAGGAACAUCGCUUGAACCCAGGAGGUGGAGGUUGCAGUGAGCCGAGAUCACACCACUGCAUGCACUCCAUCCUGGAUGACAGAACGAAACUACGUCUCCAAAAAAAAAAAAAAAAAAAAAAAAAGCAAGUUUUCAUAAACAUAAAAAGAUUGAAGUCAUUCAAAGUAUGUCCUUCAAUCACAAUAGAAUUGAAUUCAAAAUCAAUGACAGAAUCUUGAAAAAUCCUUUACAAUAUCUGGAAAUUAGAUAACACAUUUCUAAAUAACUCAGGAUCAAAGAAGAAAUUGAAUGUAAAAUUAAAGAAUAUUUUGUACUGAAUGAAAGUGAAAAGACAACAUAUGAAAAUUUAUGGGAUGCAGCUAAACAGUGCUUAGACAAAAAGUUGCAGCUUUAAACAUGUAUAUUAAAAGUUGUAUUCACCGUUUAGGAAGGUAAUUGUUACAAAUUAGAAAAUGUUUUAUUGUAUGCACAAAUUUUAGACUUCGUUGGUUUAAUGUUGGAGCCUCCUCAUCAAAGGUUUUUAAGUCUUUAAAUACAUAGCAAUACAUUAUAUAUAUAUAUAUAUAUAUAUAUAUGCAUGUAUAUAAGUGCAUAUAAUAUACUGUUAAAUGCUUUAUUCAGAAAAGAUCUUGUAGAUAAUCACCACCAUGUAUUGAUAUUCUGAUAUAGUUUGAACGUAUGUCCCUACCAAAUCUCAUGUUGAAUUUCAAUCCCCAGUGUUAGAGGUAGGGCCCAGUGGGAGGCCUUUGGAUCAUAGGGGUGGAUCCCUCAUGAAUGGCUUGGGCCAUGCCCUUGGUGAUAAGUGAGCUCUUACUCUGAGUUCAUACAAGAUGUGGUCAUUUAAAAGUGUGUGUCACCUCACCCCGACUCUUUCUUUCUUGCUCCUUCUCUGCCAUGUGAAGUGCCUGCUCCCCCUUCACCUUCCACCAUGAUUGGAAGCUUCUUGAGGCCUCCCCAGAAGCAGAUGCUGGUGCUGUACUUCCUACACAGCCUACAGAACCAUGAGCCAAUUAAACAUCUUUUCUUAUAAAUUAUCCGGUCUCAGGUAUUUCUUUAUAGCAAUGCAAGAAUUGGCUAACACAGAUUCUAUCCACUUGUGGGGCACUGGGCUAAGCACUUUAUAUAUACAAUUUCAUUUAAUAUUCACAAUCCUAUUUUCAUGCGCGUCCGUGUGAAGAGACCACCAAACAGGCUUUGUGUGAGCAGUAAAGCUGUUUAUUUCACCUGGGUGCAGGUGGGCUGAGUCCGAAAAGAGAGUCAGUGAAGGGAGAUAAGGGUGGAGCCCUUUUAUAGGAUUUGGGUAGGUAAAGGAAAAUUACAGUCCAAGGGGGUUUGUUCUCUGGCGGGCAGGAGUGGGGGUCUCAAGGUGCUCAGUGGGGGUGAUUUUUGAGCCAGGAUGAGCUAGGAAAAGGACUUUCACAAGGUAAGGUCAUCACUUAAGGCAAGACCCGGGCAUUUACACUUCUUUUGUGGUGGAAUGUCAUCAGUUAAGGUGGGGCAGGGCAUAUUCACUUCUUUUGUGAUUCUUCAGUUACUUCAGGCCAUCUGGGCAUAUACGUGCAAGUCACAGGGGAUGCGAUGGCUUGGCUUGGGCUCAGAGGCCUGAUAUUCCUGACUUCUUAUAUUAAUAAGAAAAAUAAAACACAAUAGUGUUGAAGUGUUGGAGCGGCGGAAAUUUUUGGGGGGUGGUAUGGAGAGAGAAUGGGUGAUGUUUCUCAGGGCUGCUUCAAGCGGGAUUAGGGGAGGCGUGGGAACCUAGAGUGGGAGAGAUUAAGCUGAAGGGAGGUCUUGUGGUAAGGGGUGAGAUUGUGGGGAUGUUAGAAGAAACAUUUGUCAUAUAGAAUGACUGGUGAUGGCCUGGAUAUGGUUUUGGAUGAAUUGAGAAACUAAAUGGAAUAAGAGAAGGAGUAAAACAGAUAUAAAAGGUCUAAGAAUUGGGAUGACUCAGGAUAUCUGAUUAGAGAGUGCCUAAGGAGAUUCAGCAUAGUCCUGCCAGCAGAGAUUAUUUAUUUACUUCAAGAGUUAAGAGUGGCAGUUUGGGGAUAGCACCAGGAGAUAUCAGCUGUGAUGGCUUGGAAAAACAGUGUAAACCGGCAGUGUAAACAAGAACAGGGCAUGUAUGAGUAGUUGAGAACGGUGAACAGGAGUAUGACUAGACAGAAGAUAGUAGGGAUGACAAGUUUUUUGGGGCACAGUCUAAGUUGGUCUGGUGUCUGGAAUGAGGCUGGGGCCUAAUAAAAAGGAGCAUCUAUACAGGAGCUUAAAUGGGCUGUACCCUGUAGCAUUCUGAGGACAGGCCUGAAUUCUGAGAAGGGAAAGUGGUAAAAGUAUUGUCCAGUCCUUUUUAAGUUGGUGGCUGAGCUUGGUGAGGUGUGUUUUUAAAAGACCUUUAGUCCAUUCUACUUUUCUUGAAGACGGAGGACCGUAAGGGAUGUAAAGGUUUCACUGAAUACUAAGAGCCUGAAAACCUGCUUGGCUGAUUUGACUAAUAAAGGCUCAUCUGUUGUCAGACUGUAUUGAGGUGGGAAGGCUAAACUGAGGAAUUAUGUCUGACAGAAGGGAAGAAAUGACUGCGGUGGCCUUCCCAGACCCUGUAGGAAAGGCCUCUACCUAUCCAGUGAAAGUAUCUACCUAGACUAAGAGAUAUUUUAGUUAUCUGACUCAGGGCAUGUUGAGUAAAGCUAAUUUGCCAGUCCUGGGUGGGGCAAAUCCUCGAGCUUGAUGUGCAGGGAAGGGAGGGGGCCUGAAUAAUCCCUGAGGAGUAGUAGAAUAGCAGAUGGAACACUGAGAAGUUAUUUCCUUGAGGAUAGAUUUCCACGAUGGAAAGGAAAUGAGAGGUUCUAAGAGGCGGGCUAGUGGCUUGUACUAUAGCAUAACCUGCCUUUGCUGGUGUGUGGCGAUUAGGCCUGGUGGAACCGCCAUCAAUAAAUCAAGCGUGAUCAGCGUGAGGAACAGGAAAGAAGGAAAUUUGGGGAAAUGGGGUGAAUGUCAGGUGGAUCAGAGAGAUAGUCAUGGGGGUCAGGUGUGGUAUCAGGAAUAAUGUGGGAGGCCAGAUUGAAGUCUGGGCCAGGAACAACGGUAAUUGUGGGAGACUCAACAAAGAGUGAGUACAGCUGAAGGAGCCGGGAAGCAGAAAGUAUUUGCGUCAGGUAUGAGGAAGAAAAUAGAUUUUGGAAGUUAUGAGAACUGUAGAGAGUGAGUUGAGCAUAGUUUGUGAUUUUUGAGGGCCUCUAAAAGUAUUAAAGCAGCAGCAGCCGCUGCACGCAGACAUGAGGGCUAGGCUAAAACAGUAAGGUCAAGUUGUUCGGACAGAAAGGCUACAGGGUGUGGUCCUGGCUCUUGUGUAAGAAUUCUGACCGCGCUAACCAUGCCUAGGAAGGAAAGGAGUUGUUGUUUUGUAGAAGAUGCUUGGGUUUGAGAGAUCAGUCGAACACGAUUGGCAGGGAGAGCACGUGUGCUUUUAUGAGAAUUAUGCCGAGAUAGGUAACAGAUGAGGAAGAAAUUUGGGCUUGACUGAAGUAAUGGGGGCUGUCUGUGAAGCUCUGCGGCAGUACAGCCUAGGUAAUUUGCUGAGCUUGAUGGGUGUCAGGGUCAGUCCAAGUGAAAGCAAAGAGAGGCUGGGAUGAAGGGUGCAAAGCAAUAGUAAAGAAAGCAUGUUUGAGAUCCAGAACAGAAUAAUGGGUAGUAGAGGCAGGUAUUGAGGAUUGGAGAGUAUAUGGGUUUGGCACCAUGGGGUGGAUAGGCAAAACAAUUUGGUUGAUAAGGUGCAGAUCCUGAACUAACUUGUAAGGCUUGUCUGGUUUUAGGACAGGUAAAAUGGGGGAAUUGUAAGGAGAAUUUAUAGGCUUUAAAAGGCCAUGCUGUAGCAGGCGAGUGAUAACAAGCUUUAAUCUUUUUAAAGCGUGCUGCGGGAUGGGAUAUUGGCGUUGAGCGGGGU